AUACUGACCUGGCAGGGAGACACCAUGAUCAUGAAGGUGGUUUUCCCAGGGGGAGGCUUGUCCAUUGCACUCCGGGUGUGCUGACUCCUGCGAUUUCCCCAAAUGUGGGAAACUCGACUGCAUAAUUUGUGGUAGUGGGGGAAUGUGUUCACGCUCUCCCCUA
RNAcentral lists this small nuclear RNA (163 nucleotides) under Echinops telfairi (small Madagascar hedgehog). Its description in RNAcentral is "U1 spliceosomal RNA (ENSETEG00000021058.1)". It matches the Rfam family "U1 spliceosomal RNA". Rfam says of the family: U1 is a small nuclear RNA (snRNA) component of the spliceosome (involved in pre-mRNA splicing). Its 5' end forms complementary base pairs with the 5' splice junction, thus defining the 5' donor site of an intron. There are significant differences in sequence and secondary structure between metazoan and yeast U1 snRNAs, the latter being much longer (568 nucleotides as compared to 164 nucleotides in human). The record is from RNAcentral. Lineage: Eukaryota; Metazoa; Chordata; Mammalia; Afrosoricida; Tenrecidae.